AUACAGAGGGUGCGAGCAUUAAUCGGAAUUACUGGGCGUAAAGCGCGCGUAGGCGGCUUAUUAAGUCAGAUGUGAAAUCCCCGGGCUCAACCUGGGAACUGCAUCUGAUACUGGUAAGCUAGAGUUUGGGAGAGGGAAGUAGAAUUUCAGGUGUAGCGGUGAAAUGCAUAGAGAUCUGAAGGAAUACCAGUGGCGAAGGCGACUUCCUGGCCUAAAACUGACGCUGAGGUGCGAAAGCGUGGGUAGCAAACGGGAUUAGAAACCCGGGUAGUCC
Molecule: ribosomal RNA, 274 nt
Filed under: uncultured bacterium
Lineage: Bacteria
Description: partial 16S ribosomal RNA
Rfam family: Bacterial small subunit ribosomal RNA
Source: RNAcentral